Molecule: ribosomal RNA, 326 nt
Filed under: uncultured eukaryote
Lineage: Eukaryota
Description: partial 18S ribosomal RNA
Rfam family: Eukaryotic small subunit ribosomal RNA
Source: RNAcentral
CCCUUAGAUGUUCUGGGCCGCACGCGCGCUACACUGAUGCAUUCAACAAGCCUAGCCUUGACCGAGAGGUCCGGGUAACCUUUGAAACUGCAUCGUGAUGGGGCUAGAUUAUUGCAAUUAUUAAUCUUCAACGAGGAAUGCCUAGUAAGCGUGAUUCAUCAAAUCGCGUUGAUUACGUCCCUGCCCUUUGUACACACCGCCCGUCGCUCCUACCGAUUGAAUGUGUUGGUGAGGAGCUCGGAUUGGCAGCAGUUGGUGGUUCGCCACCGGCUAUUGCUGAGAAGUCCUCCAAACCGCCCCAUUUAGAGGAAGGAGAAGUCGUAACA